This 292-nucleotide ribosomal RNA is filed under the name uncultured eukaryote. Its description in RNAcentral is "partial 18S ribosomal RNA". It matches the Rfam family "Eukaryotic small subunit ribosomal RNA", at positions 6 to 302 of the family's 1831-position model. The record is from RNAcentral.
GGUUGAUCCUGCCAGUAGUCAUAUGCUUGUCUCAAAGAUUUAGCCAUGCAUGUCUAAGUUUAAGCUCGUUAGAGCGAAACUGCGAAUGGCUCAUUAAAACAGUUAUAGUUUCUUUGAUGACUAACAAUUACUUGGAUAACUGUAGUAAUUCUAGAGCUAAUACAUGCGAAACAACCUGACUUAUUGGAAGGUCGCACUUAUUAGAUACAAAACCAACCUAGGGCAACCUAGAGUUCUGGUCAUUCAUAAUAAUUCCGCUGAUCGCACAGUUUACUGGCGACACGUCAUUCAA